Molecule: ribosomal RNA, 497 nt
Filed under: uncultured bacterium
Lineage: Bacteria
Description: partial 16S ribosomal RNA
Rfam family: Bacterial small subunit ribosomal RNA
Source: RNAcentral
GAUGAACGCUGGCGGCGUGCCUAAUACAUGCAAGUCGAGCGAACAGACGAGGAGCUUGCUCCUCUGACGUUAGCGGCGGACGGGUGAGUAACACGUGGAUAACCUACCUAUAAGACUGGGAUAACUUCGGGAUACCGGAGCUAAUACCGGAUAAUAUAUUGAACCGCAUGGUUCAAUAGUGAAAGACGGUUUUGCUGUCACUUAUAGAUGGAUCCGCGCCGCAUUAGCUAGUUGGUAAGGUAACGGCUUACCAAGGCAACGAUGCGUAGCCGACCUGAGAGGGUGAUCGGCCACACUGGAACUGAGACACGGUCCAGACUCCUACGGGAGGCAGCAGUAGGGAAUCUUCCGCAAUGGGCGAAAGCCUGACGGAGCAACGCCGCGUGAGUGAUGAAGGUCUUCGGAUCGUAAAACUCUGUUAUUAGGGAAGAACAAAUGUGUAAGUAACUAUGCACGUUUUGACGGUACCUAAUCAGAAAGCCACGGCUAACUACGUG